UGUGCGUGUCGCGGUGACGACGACCACGUAGUGGUAGCAAUGGUAGUAACAUCAACGCGAUUAUUAUUCAUUAUCAGCCAACAAAAGCAGCUGCACACCGACGCGACGCGUCAGUUACUUAAAAGUCGUCCAUUCGAUUUGUCGGUAUUUGCAAUUUCGUAGGUGAGCGGACUCACUCAAUAUUUGGCGGAUUACGCGACGCGUUUUAAUGUUUAACGGCUUCUCAUGACAAACUUGGUGUUCGUGCAAACGAAAACAGCAAAGCUGGGCAAGUGAUAAAGGCAAAUUAAAACUUGAUAUUUGAUUCAUGGCAAAGCGGCAAACAGUUGUUAGGGGAGCGUCGUUUUUAAACUGGAUUUAGUGUUAGCCAAAAAUAAACGAGGAAUAUUGAAUUGAAUUGUGUUGUGUUAGUACAUUUGUAGGCUUCAGUGGGUAGAUUUAAAAAUUAGCUGGCAAAAAGUGGUUUUGGAUUGAAACAUAUUUUAAAACGAAUUUGGAUAAAAAGUUUUGUGUGCUGAAAUCUGCAUAAUUGCUGUUGUUGUUUAUUUAUCUAAUCUUAUCAAUGCGUUUUCACAAGCCUUCGCCAGCGUGAGUGUCAAUAAGUGUAAAUAAAUAACUGUAUGCACACCCACAUACACGCACGCAAUAUUCGAAAAUUUAUUUCGGCGCUACUACCGCUACUACCGCUGCCGACUUCUUAGGCUUUGCCGUGUGUUUGUGAACGAGUGCUCCAUGGCGUAUGAAUGCGUAAAUUCUUAAAGAGGAAAACAUACAAUACAUACCUACAUAAAUACGACUUUAUUAGUGUUUACAAAUGUAUGUAGAUAAACAAGUUGCGUGAAUUCUGUUUAUUGAGCUGAAAAUUAUUACAAGAACACAAAAAAGAAGAAUAAAACCAAUCAACUGCAUGCUUUUGAAACAGCGCCUCCAACAGCUAUAAAAAGUUUCAAUACCGCAGAGGUGGAUAAGGAGACCCUGGACAUUGUUAGUUUUGGUGAUGACCUUAGUAGGUGUACCAACAA
Anastrepha ludens (Mexican fruit fly) is the source of this 1022-nucleotide RNA transcript. It is a transcript of the gene named probable ATP-dependent RNA helicase ddx42, with no coding region annotated. The transcript has 2 exons. Lineage: Eukaryota; Metazoa; Arthropoda; Insecta; Diptera; Tephritidae. The record is from RefSeq and is a predicted model, not a curated record.